RNAcentral lists this ribosomal RNA (703 nucleotides) under Lactobacillus gasseri. Its description in RNAcentral is "bacterial SSU rRNA". It matches the Rfam family "Bacterial small subunit ribosomal RNA", at positions 57 to 721 of the family's 1533-position model. The record is from RNAcentral. Lineage: Bacteria; Bacillati; Bacillota; Bacilli; Lactobacillales; Lactobacillaceae.
GCAGUCGAGCGAGCUUGCUUAGAUGAAUUUGGUGCUUGCACCAAAUGAAACUAGAUACAAGCGAGCGGCGGACGGGUGAGUAACACGUGGGUAACCUGCCCAAGAGACUGGGAUAACACCUGGAAACAGAUGCUAAUACCGGAUAACAACACUAGACGCAUGUCUAGAGUUUAAAAGAUGGUUCUGCUAUCACUCUUGGAUGGACCUGCGGUGCAUUAGCUAGUUGGUAAGGUAACGGCUUACCAAGGCAAUGAUGCAUAGCCGAGUUGAGAGACUGAUCGGCCACAUUGGGACUGAGACACGGCCCAAACUCCUACGGGAGGCAGCAGUAGGGAAUCUUCCACAAUGGACGCAAGUCUGAUGGAGCAACGCCGCGUGAGUGAAGAAGGGUUUCGGCUCGUAAAGCUCUGUUGGUAGUGAAGAAAGAUAGAGGUAGUAACUGGCCUUUAUUUGACGGUAAUUACUUAGAAAGUCACGGCUAACUACGUGCCAGCAGCCGCGGUAAUACGUAGGUGGCAAGCGUUGUCCGGAUUUAUUGGGCGUAAAGCGAGUGCAGGCGGUUCAAUAAGUCUGAUGUGAAAGCCUUCGGCUCAACCGGAGAAUUGCAUCAGAAACUGUUGAACUUGAGUGCAGAAGAGGAGAGUGGAACUCCAUGUGUAGCGGUGGAAUGCGUAGAUAUAUGGAAGAACACCAGUGGCGAAGG